GACGAACGCUGGCGGCGUGCUUAACACAUGCAAGUCGAACGGGCCCGCCCCUGUUUUUGGGGGUGGGUUGAGUGGCGAACGGGUGAGUAUCCCGUGAGUAACCUGCCCCCUGCUCCUGGAUAACUGCUUGAAAGGGCGGCUAAUACGGGGUGUGCCGGCUGGUCCGCAUGGGCCUGGUCGGGAUAGUUUCAUCUUCGGGUGUUUCGGUGGGGGAUGGGCUCGCGGCCUAUCAGCUUGUUGGUGGGGUGAUGGCCCACCAAGGCGGUGACGGGUAGCCGGCCUGAGAGGGUGGGCGGCCACACUGGGACUGAGACACGGCCCAGACUCCUGCGGGAGGCAGCAGUGGGGGGUAUUGCACAAUGGGCGGAAGCCUGAUGCAGCGACGUCGCGUGAGGGAUGGAGGCCGUCGGGUUGUGAACCUCUUUCUCCGGUGGUGAAGGCCCUGUCCGUUGCGGCGGGGUUGACGGUAGCCGGGGAUGAAGCGCCGGCUAACUACGUG
This 499-nucleotide ribosomal RNA is filed under the name uncultured bacterium. Its description in RNAcentral is "partial 16S ribosomal RNA". It matches the Rfam family "Bacterial small subunit ribosomal RNA", at positions 28 to 507 of the family's 1533-position model. The record is from RNAcentral.